GUCUACUGCCAUGCCAUCUCGCAUGUGCCCAAUCUCAUCUGAUCUCAGAAGUUCAGCAGGGUUAGGUCUGGUUAGUACUGGAUGGGAGAGCGCGUCUUCUUGGCCUGUUGCAGUGGCUC
Otolemur garnettii (small-eared galago) is the source of this 119-nucleotide ribosomal RNA. The record is from Ensembl. NCBI's taxonomy places the organism in Eukaryota, Metazoa, Chordata, Mammalia, Primates, Galagidae.